GGUGUAGCUCAAUUGGUAGAGCAACUGACUUGUAAUCAGUAGGUUGAGGGUUCAAGUCCUUUCACC
Molecule: transfer RNA, 66 nt
Filed under: Methanosarcina mazei
Lineage: Archaea; Methanobacteriati; Methanobacteriota; Methanomicrobia; Methanosarcinales; Methanosarcinaceae
Description: tRNA-Thr
Rfam family: tRNA
About the family: Transfer RNA (tRNA) molecules are approximately 80 nucleotides in length.
Source: RNAcentral